AGAACGAACGCUGGCGGCAUGCCUAAUACAUGCAAGUCGAACGAACUCUUCGGAGUUAGUGGCGCACGGGUGCGUAACGCGUGGGAAUCUGCCCCUUGGUUCGGAAUAACAGUUGGAAACGACUGCUAAUACCGGAUGAUGACGAAAGUCCAAAGAUUUAUCGCCAAGGGAUGAGCCCGCGUAGGAUUAGCUAGUUGGUGAGGUAAAGGCUCACCAAGGCAACGAUCCUUAGCUGGUCUGAGAGGA
This 246-nucleotide ribosomal RNA is filed under the name uncultured soil bacterium. RNAcentral describes it as "partial 16S ribosomal RNA". It matches the Rfam family "Bacterial small subunit ribosomal RNA", at positions 26 to 300 of the family's 1533-position model. The record is from RNAcentral.